Molecule: ribosomal RNA, 460 nt
Filed under: uncultured bacterium
Lineage: Bacteria
Description: partial 16S ribosomal RNA
Rfam family: Bacterial small subunit ribosomal RNA
Source: RNAcentral
CCUACGGGAGGCAGCAGUGAGGAAUAUUGGUCAAUGGACGAGAGUCUGAACCAGCCAAGUAGCGUGAAGGAUGACUGCCCUAUGGGUUGUAAACUUCUUUUAUAUGGGAAUAAAACGUUCCACGUGUGGGAUUUUGUAUGUACCAUAUGAAUAAGGAUCGGCUAACUCCGUGCCAGCAGCCGCGGUAAUACGGAGGAUCCGAGCGUUAUCCGGAUUUAUUGGGUUUAAAGGAAGCGUAGGUGGAUUGUUAAGUCAGUUGUGAAAGUUUGCGGCUCAACCGUAAAAUUGCAGUUGAAACUGGCAGUCUUGAGUACAGUAGAGGUGGGCGGAAUUCGUGGUGUAGCGGUGAAAUGCUUAGAUAUCACGAAGAACUCCGAUUGCGAAGGCAGUUCACUGGACUGCAACUGACACUGAGGCUCGAAAGUGUGGGUAUCAAACAGGAUUAGAUACCCGAGUAGUC